Long non-coding RNA from Oncorhynchus masou masou (cherry salmon), 1926 nucleotides. RefSeq lists it as uncharacterized. The record is from RefSeq and is a predicted model, not a curated record. The transcript has 2 exons. NCBI's taxonomy places the organism in Eukaryota, Metazoa, Chordata, Actinopteri, Salmoniformes, Salmonidae.
UGUAAACUUAAUGAGUGUUGAUAGAAUGUGAAUGGUAUUAUGUUUAGUGGGUUUUUUCUAUAGCUCUAAUAAUGCAAUAUUUAUUCAUUUGAAGAAGCUGAGGUUUCAAUACAAGGUGUAAUGAUUGAGUCUUGAGAUGGAAAAAUAAAAUUAGCUGCAGUUGAAUUCAAGCGGGCUGUAAGGGACCAAGUGGGUAAAAUUUGGUAGAGAGGUAUGACUAAGUUGAAUACAGAGAUAAUUUCUUCUUAUUAUUACUGAAUUCUGUAGUUUAGGUAACACCAGUGAUUUAAGCAAGCAGUUAAUGUAUUCUAAAACAAUAAUCUGUUUCCAUUACAUGGAACAUGGUCAAGUAAUUGAAGUGGAUUGCAGUUAGUUUUUACUAUUACGCUGAUGAGACAGCACCAACUAUUUGAUGGUCCUAGAUUUGUUACAACAUGUUUUAAAUUGACUAAAUUAAUUGUUAAGGGAAUUUUUAUCAAUGAUGACUAAUUAUGUAUACAUUACAAUCAGGACUGACUAAUCAGAAUACUAUUAUGUUACUGUAUAUGUACUAAUCAGAAUACUAUUAUGUUGCUGUAUAUGUAUGAGUUUUAAUUAUUGAUCCCAGUACUGAAUAUAAUGUGUGUGAAUGAAUCAAGGAUUAGAACAAUGACGGUCUGUUCCUGGGUAGGAAUGAAUGAACGAUAUCUUCAGACUGGCUAGAAUGCUUAUCUACACGAGAAGACCUUGGCUCGUAAAUUGUAUUAAAUUGGUAGUGAGACGGAUGUGGGAAGGCUUGAGAUACAGCCUUUGUACUGGAACGGAGAUGGCACGGGUUGGUGCUGAAACUAAUGACGUCAUUUUCAGUUUAUAACCUGUGGUAAACUGUAUCGUAUUCAGUACUCUCGUGAAUAAACUCUGAGUGUUUAAUUUUAAUUGGGUAUUAAAACAUAGAGCAAUUUAAUUCCUGUAACAUUAAUGCAUCAGGUUAAAAUGAUAAGAUUACCAGAAAGGGGCUCUGGGAUUGUUUACUUUAGAAGGUGUCUUUUUCCCUAACUGGAAAACUGUAAUAUCUGACAUGUUUUGUGUAGGAUUCUUUUUUCCAGGACUGAUGGAAGUCCAAUUGUCACGGCCGUUGAAUGAAGAGGACCAAAGCGCAGCGUGAUGGUGCUAUACAGAUGAAAAUGGCUAUUUCCAUCAUGCUGACCCUUACCAUUGUGCAUGGUGCCAGUGUGACGACUGUCCUAUUUGCAGUAAUGAAACUUGUGAUAAAAAAAUAUUUGUUUAAUUUUCUGUUCCAGAUUGACUGUUUUGAUCAGGUCAAACUCAGCAAUUUAUAUGCACUUUGUUUGUUUAAAUGUAUGUUUAACAAUAAUUAUGUAAUUCUUGUACCCUUACAUUUUUCUAGAAGAAACUGAGUUUCUUGAGAGGAGGUAUGUGAGAGAAAUUAUGUAUUUACUAGAUUUGUUUUAUAUUAAUAGUUUAAUUAUACACUUAACAAAUAGUAAAAGACAUUUCUGUUCUACUAAUGCAGUGUUUUUAUGGUCUCCACUCUAGCUCCCUGCAGCUAGUCUGGGUGUAUGGUCACUAGAGAUAGCUUGAGCUGACAACUGAUUUCAGCCUGCAUUCCAUAGACAAGAUGUGGUGGGUAUAACCAAGAUAGAGAGCCUGGAGGAGUGGAACCAAACCCUUAUUGUGUCUAAUCAUCCUUGCAUCUGGAGGACUAAGCCAGGUUGGGGGAUAACCACAGGAGAACCCAAGGUGGCUUAUGAUUUGUAGUGUCAGAUAUAAGAACCAUGAUUCCUCUGCUCACUGGGCUCUCAACGAAUCACCUACGGGUGAGUCACUGACCAGCCUCAUCACUGCAGAGCACUCGCAUUGUUCUCGUGUGUGUGGUGUGACCUGCUCCUGUAUUCAUGUUUUGAAUAAAGUAAUAUCCUGAUUCUC